Molecule: transfer RNA, 62 nt
Filed under: Isotomurus maculatus
Lineage: Eukaryota; Metazoa; Arthropoda; Collembola; Entomobryomorpha; Isotomidae
Description: tRNA-Leu
Source: RNAcentral
ACUAAGUUGGCAGACUAGUGCGACUGAUUUAGAAUCUUUAUAUGGGGUUGACUCACUUAGUA